UGGUGGUAAGAUGUAGUCUUAUUAAUAAAAUAGUGAUUAUUAUGACUGCUUGUGAAAAUUAUGUCGAUUUUGACUAUAUCCAUGUCCACGACCAUGACUACGACUAUGACCACGACCAUGAAUUUUAUUAAAUGUUAUCUCUUCACUUCAGGGAAUGGAGCAUAACCAGAUAGAUGGGUUUCAUGGUUUUUCAACAAUACUAUGUCACUUCUGGUGGUGAUAUA
Molecule: unclassified non-coding RNA, 224 nt
Filed under: Hevea brasiliensis (rubber tree)
Lineage: Eukaryota; Viridiplantae; Streptophyta; Magnoliopsida; Malpighiales; Euphorbiaceae
Source: RNAcentral